ACAUAGCCCCGAUGGGAACGGCAUCCUUUUUUGUUUUUUUUAGAUUCCUGACUUUGUUCGGAAUGACAAAGCGCCUGAAAAACAAAAAAGAUAUAGUGGACAGCGGGUUGGAAU
Molecule: small RNA, 114 nt
Filed under: Epilithonimonas arachidiradicis
Lineage: Bacteria; Pseudomonadati; Bacteroidota; Flavobacteriia; Flavobacteriales; Weeksellaceae
Description: Chryseobacterium arachidiradicis Flavo-1 RNA
Rfam family: Flavo-1 RNA
Source: RNAcentral